This 405-nucleotide ribosomal RNA is filed under the name uncultured Sphingopyxis sp. RNAcentral describes it as "bacterial SSU rRNA". It matches the Rfam family "Bacterial small subunit ribosomal RNA", at positions 354 to 776 of the family's 1533-position model. Lineage: Bacteria; Pseudomonadati; Pseudomonadota; Alphaproteobacteria; Sphingomonadales; Sphingopyxidaceae. The record is from RNAcentral. RNAcentral also lists the same sequence under 1 other name.
GUGGGGAAUAUUGGACAAUGGGCGAAAGCCUGAUCCAGCAAUGCCGCGUGAGUGAUGAAGGCCCUAGGGUUGUAAAGCUCUUUUACCCGGGAUGAUAAUGACAGUACCGGGAGAAUAAGCUCCGGCUAACUUCGUGCCAGCAGCCGCGGUAAUACGAGGGGAGCUAGCGUUGUUCGGAAUUACUGGGCGUAAAGCGCGCGUAGGCGGUUUUUUAAGUCAGAGGUGAAAGCCCGGGGCUCAACCCCGGAAUAGCCUUUGAAACUGGAAAACUAGAAUCUUGGAGAGGUCAGUGGAAUUCCGAGUGUAGAGGUGAAAUUCGUAGAUAUUCGGAAGAACACCAGUGGCGAAGGCGACUGACUGGACAAGUAUUGACGCUGAGGUGCGAAAGCGUGGGGAGCAAACAGG